Molecule: non-coding RNA, 30 nt
Filed under: Mus musculus (house mouse)
Lineage: Eukaryota; Metazoa; Chordata; Mammalia; Rodentia; Muridae
Source: RNAcentral
UGAUUAGGGUCCUGAUAUUUGUAGGCAUGU